GAUCCUGGCUCAGGACGAACGCUGGCGGCGUGCUUAACACAUGCAAGUCGUACGAGACGAUUGAAAGCUUGCUUUUGAGAGUCGAGUGGCAAACGGGUGAGUAACGCGUAGACAACCUGCCGUAAAGAUGGGGACAACAGUUCGAAAGGACUGCUAAUACCGAAUGUUGUAGAGUUCCCGCAUGGGGAUUCUACUAAAGGUGGCCUCUACUUGUAAGCUAUCGCUUUACGAUGGGUCUGCGU
Molecule: ribosomal RNA, 242 nt
Filed under: uncultured bacterium
Lineage: Bacteria
Description: partial 16S ribosomal RNA
Rfam family: Bacterial small subunit ribosomal RNA
Source: RNAcentral